CUGCAGGUAUUCCUAACAGACCACAAGAUAUGCAAAACUAGUUUUUCUGUUCCCUUGUCAGUCUCUGUAAUCGCAUUUGUUACGUCUUUAAAUCACUUAAAUCAGAGUUUGCAAUUAUAUAAUUACUCGUGUAAUAUCCUCAUGUUCCACCUCACACACUAUUCAUUGUGAAAAUGAGCUUAUUUUCCUUACCAAUGGUAAAAUGAAGAAUUGACACCUAUAGUCAUUCGAACCACAGUUUGUGAAUAAACAAAUAUAAUAUCAGUAAAUGGAUUUCAAGAACUGGUCUGAUUUUAUUAGGCUUUAGCAACUGACAUAUAAACCUGUCCAACAAAAGUUUGAGAGUGGAAUUGAAAGUGGAGAAAAAAUUGUGAAGCAAGGAUGGUCCUAGGAAACAGCAGAGGAGCUGGGAAUGAGAAGAAGAACUAACGCACUACCACAGAUACUUCUCCAUUUGCAACUAAAAUACUUAAAAAACGACCAUAGCAUCUUGGAGCAAGAUCAAUAUUGUAAUACUCUUAGAACCUCCAUCCCUACUGACUGUAUUAGCAGUAUCUGCUGAUAAAACAGAUUUUGAAUGACCAUGUAAGCUCUUAAGGAAUAUGGCCAAAGAAUAUGAGAAAUCUUGAAAUGGUGACUUAUGUGAAGCAAAGAUUUUGGUCAUAGUUUUUACCUUAUAGAUAUCUGGCAUUGUUGGAAUGAAUUCAUUAAGUUUACCAGGACAAGACUUUGUAAAUAUAUCAAAGAUGACUUUUUAAACAAGUACACAUUCCUGUUUUAAAUCCCAAUUUAGGAAAUGUUAACUUUUCAUAAGCCUUGCAUAGACUCAGUGAGGUGGAGCCAACUAAGAGCGAUAGGGGGUCAGUGGAAGGAAAGGAAAUCUUUCCUGGGACCACUGUAGCACAACAGAAGAUGCUUAUGUAUCAGAAGAUAGAGGAGAUUCAGGGUGGGAUUACUCUUAGAAAGAAAAUUCAUAUUGUGUAUGUUAGGAAAACAUGAUGAUUUUAUGAUGGCUGAGUAUUAGACCCAUUAUUAGUAGACCACUAGAUAUGCACUACUAGAAUGAUUUUAUUAUCGCUUUAGUAUUCUAAAUUUAGUAUUUCUCUUUAGUAUUCUAUUUCUAGGCUAAGACCCUGAAACUUCACUCUUGAAAGAAAAUACUAUCUUAAAAAAUAUCAGAGGGAUUGUCUUAAGAAAUUAACCGUUUAAUGUUCCAAAGUUUUGCUUUAGCCAUUCAGGACCCCACUCCACCCUCAUGUCAUAGCAUGAGCAACAUGCUCAUCUGGUUCUUCUCUAUCCCUUCACUUACUCUUAUUGACCCAUGUCACACAGCACAUUCUUCUUUAUCUAAGUGAUUCCGAAUUUAUAUGCUCAUAUCGUUGUUCCUUUGCUCCCAUAUUUUCUUUCCCCUGGUCCAUCAAGAAUACUCUGCAUCCUUUGCUUUAAAAGACAGUCUUAUGCAGGGGGAGACAGAAGCUCUCUCUUGCACUCCUGUGAACCACAGGCAGCCCUCCCUUGGUACCUGUUCAAUAUGAGAUCCUCAAAACCCUUGAUACGACAAACAUAUUUUCUGUAACAUGUAACUGCACAAGAUAUUUUUUUCCUUAAGUCUGUUUUCUUUCUUUUCUAGACAUUUGUUAUCUAAAUAAUGACAGAAUACUUUGAUUAUGAGUGUAUACACAGGGAUAUGUUGUCAAGAGUCUAAUUCCUGCUCUCAAAUAUAGGACAUGUGCAAUUUAAAAAAAGAUUUAAAAAAUCUUUUAAAUUUAAACAAGUAUUUUAUUUGUUUAGAAGUAAUGGUAAUGACUUAAUGAAGAAAACACAAGACACAAGACUAAAAAAAAUUGUGCUUGACAAUAGUUAUGUAAAUAAG
This 1873-nucleotide long non-coding RNA is filed under the name Homo sapiens (human). Its description in RNAcentral is "HSALNT0142298". The record is from RNAcentral. Lineage: Eukaryota; Metazoa; Chordata; Mammalia; Primates; Hominidae.